This 119-nucleotide ribosomal RNA is filed under the name Triticum dicoccoides. The record is from RNAcentral. RNAcentral also lists the same sequence under 1 other name. Lineage: Eukaryota; Viridiplantae; Streptophyta; Magnoliopsida; Poales; Poaceae.
GGAUGCGAUCAUACCAGCACUAAAGCACCGGAUCCCAUCAGAACUCCGAAGUUAAGCUUGCUUGGGCGAGAGUAGUACUAGGAUGGGUGACCUCCUGGGAAGUCCUCGUGUUGCAUUUC